UCCUCUAUAGCUCAGUUGGUAGAGCGUCGCGCUGUUAACGCGAAUGUCCUUGGUUCGAGUCCAAGUGGAGGAG
Molecule: transfer RNA, 73 nt
Filed under: Pseudanabaena phage Pam2
Lineage: Duplodnaviria; Heunggongvirae; Uroviricota; Caudoviricetes
Rfam family: tRNA
About the family: Transfer RNA (tRNA) molecules are approximately 80 nucleotides in length. Their secondary structure includes four short double-helical elements and three loops (D, anti-codon, and T loops).
Source: Rfam by way of RNAcentral